RNAcentral lists this ribosomal RNA (498 nucleotides) under uncultured bacterium. RNAcentral's name for it is "partial 16S ribosomal RNA". It matches the Rfam family "Bacterial small subunit ribosomal RNA", at positions 899 to 1397 of the family's 1533-position model. The record is from RNAcentral.
ACUCAAAUGAAUUGACGGGGACCCGCACAAGCGGUGGAUUAUGUGGAUUAAUUCGAUGCAACGCGAAAAACCUUACCUACCCUUGACAUGUCCUGAAUCCUAGAGAGAUCUGGGAGUGCCCGAAAGGGAACGGGAACACAGGUGCUGCAUGGCUGUCGUCAGCUCGUGUCGUGAGAUGUUGGGUUAAGUCCCGCAACGAGCGCAACCCUUGUCAUUAGUUGCUACAUUCAGUUGGGCACUCUAAUGAGACUGCCGGUGACAAACCGGAGGAAGGUGGGGAUGACGUCAAGUCCUCAUGGCCCUUAUGGGUAGGGCUUCACACGUAAUACAAUGGCGCGUACAGAGGGUUGCCAAGGGGUGACCUGGAGCCAAUCCCACAAAGCGCGUCGUAGUCCGGAUUGCAGUCUGCAACUCGACUGCAUGAAGUCGGAAUCGCUAGUAAUCGCGGAUCAGCAUGUCGCGGUGAAUACGUUCCCGGGUCUUGUACACACCGCCCGU